RNAcentral lists this ribosomal RNA (450 nucleotides) under uncultured bacterium. RNAcentral describes it as "bacterial SSU rRNA". It matches the Rfam family "Bacterial small subunit ribosomal RNA", at positions 29 to 525 of the family's 1533-position model. The record is from RNAcentral.
AACGAACGCUGGCGGCAGGCUUAACACAUGCAAGUCGAGCGAGACCUUCGGGUUUAGCGGCGGACGGGUGAGUAACGCGUGGGAACGUGCCCUUUACUACGGAAUAGCCCAGGGAAACUUGGAUUAAUACCGUAUACGCCCUUCGGGGAAAGAUUUAUCGGCAAAGGAUUGGCCCGCGUUGGAUUAGGUAGUUGGUGGGGUAAAGGCCUACCAAGCCGACGAUCCAUAGCUGGUUUGAGAGGAUGAUCAGCCACACUGGGACUGAGACACGGCCCAGACUCCUACGGGAGGCAGCAGUGGGGAAUCUUAGACAAUGGGGGCAACCCUGAUCUAGCCAUGCCGCGUGAGUGAUGAAGGCCCUAGGGUUGUAAAGCUCUUUCAGCUGGGAAGAUAAUGACGGUACCAGCAGAAGAAGCCCCGGCUAACUCCGUGCCAGCAGCCGCCGUAAAC